UGCAAACUGCGAAUACCGGAGAAUGUUAUCACGGGAGACACACGGCGGGUGCUAACGUCCGUCGUGAAGAGGGAAACAACCCAGACCGCCAGCUAAGGUCCCAAAGUCAUGGUUAAGUGGGAAACGAUGUGGGAAGGCCCAGACAGCCAGGAUGUUGGCUUAGAAGCAGCCAUCAUUUAAAGAAAGCGUAAUAGCUCACUGGUCGAGUCGGCCUGCGCGGAAGAUGUAACGGGGCUAAACCAUGCACCGAAGCUGCGGCAGCGACACUAUGUGUUGUUGGGUAGGGGAGCGUUCUGUAAGCCUGUGAAGGUGGCCUGUGAGGGUUGCUGGAGGUAUCAGAAGUGCGAAUGCUGACAUAAGUAACGAUAAAGCGGGUGAAAAGCCCGCUCGCCGGAAGACCAAGGGUUCCUGUCCAACGUUAAUCGGGGCAGGGUGAGUCGACCCCUAAGGCGAGGCCGAAAGGCGUAGUCGAUGGGAAACAGGUUAAUAUUCCUGUACUUGGUGUUACUGCGAAGGGGGGACGGAGAAGGCUAUGUUGGCCGGGCGACGGUUGUCCCGGUUUAAGCGUGUAGGCUGGUUUUCCAGGCAAAUCCGGAAAACCAAGGCUGAGGCGUGAUGA
This 619-nucleotide ribosomal RNA is filed under the name Escherichia coli. Its description in RNAcentral is "partial 23S ribosomal RNA". It matches the Rfam family "Bacterial large subunit ribosomal RNA", at positions 948 to 1569 of the family's 2925-position model. The record is from RNAcentral. Lineage: Bacteria; Pseudomonadati; Pseudomonadota; Gammaproteobacteria; Enterobacterales; Enterobacteriaceae.